UUCCUUACGAAAUAAAACCCUUCAAGAAUUCCUCUUUCUAUUUACAUAAUCUAAUCUUGAUCCGAAUCCUAAUCUCAAAGCCACCUUCUGGAUCUCUUCUUCUUGAAUCAAGAAGGCCGUUUCCUCCCGUCGACCUGAUCGUUCCGUCAUCCUUGAGGUGGUGGAGGGAGUCGCAAGAAUCUGAUUGGAAUUCGGCAGUGGGGAGAGAUCCCGUAAGGGCGCCUCUGGCACCGCCUUCACAGCAGGCGCUGUGGGGAGGGACGGUCCGAUGACGUCCUUCGUCGACUCCGCUCGUUUCUGGUUCGGCGGUGAAAACUCGAGCCCGGGUGACGCGGAAGGCCCCAGCGAGGGAUCGAUGUCGGCCGUAGACGACGACUCCGAUCUUAAUCUUCAGCCAUCGGCGUGACAGCGAUUCGAGCCUCGAUGAUACUGAAGACGAUGGGAUUUCCGGCCGCAGCCUUAUCUGAUGCGGAGGCUGCAGAAGCAAGGCAAAAUGAAGUUAGUCUGGUAAAGAACAGAGGAGGCUUUCUUCCAUUGGAUUUAUCGGAUAGGGGUGUCAUCGGAACUGUGUUCCCAAUCUUCCUAGAGACGAGACGUUCCAAUCCUGCCGACAAACCGAACAGCAAUGGGAGCAGGAGGCGAUUCAAUGCCAGAGGAGGAUCCACCAUUUUUCGCGAGGGAGGCAGGCAGCAUUGUGUUGGCCGCUGGAGUCGCUUCGUGGAGCUACAACAAUGGCGAAAUACCUGUUGUUGCGAUUACUGUCUUUGACAAGAGUAGCAAUGCCAAUCAACCAGAUUACUAGCACAAAGGGGAUGCCUCAGUAUAAGAAGAGUAGUGAGUCCUUGAAACAAAGACAAGAAAGUGGAUUGCUUGGAUUUAAGGUAGAAUGUCUGUUGCUUGUUUCAGUUGUCGAGUCCAUCACGGGUUGUCAUGUCCCGCACCAUUAUGAGAAAUCCAGAAAGAGGCAGCCAUGCACUAACCAGGUCGAUGGUGCAACCGCAAGACAUCAUCACAAGUGCGCACGACGGGAGACUGAGUGCUCUCCAUGAGUCCCAUCUGGCGAGAGAGCGAGAAGACAUCGUGGGCGCUAUCAUCCAUCAACAUGGUAGGGUUUACUACCGUUCCACUGUUGAAGAUGGAUUCCAGUUUGAGGAUCUGCUUGGGUGCGCGUGACGGUGCCGUCGGGCGCAGAUCUCUGCAGGCUGGAGCUGUUUCUGCGGCCUCGGUUACUGUCUUCCAUGGCCGAAGUGGCUUGUAGCUGGAGCGAAGAAGGAAACCCAAGUCACCGGAAGCAAUGAUGCGAAGGAAAAGAGAUGCGUCAAGUGUUCACAUACACAAGAUCUUACGGAUGAUGGUAUACGAUGAUAACGUGCCGAGCAUAAGUGGAGGAAGUCCUCAAGGAAGAAAUAGUCAAAGAGGAAGGCUGAUGCAAAGAAGAAGCACACAAUAUACUAACAUGUUGGUGCGAGAGAGUGAAAGAGAGAGAGAGAGAGACAGGGAAAAGGUUUGGCCAUCUUUUGCCACAGCAGAAACCGACGCAACGCGGAAGGAGGCUCGGCUUGGUUUGAAUGCCUUUAAUUUACCUCUGUCCCCUUCCAUGGCAACUGUGCCUUCUGUAGCUUCUCUUCAGCAUCAAACUCCAACUCUGUGCUUGUCUGAUCCGAUUAAUUCCUUGUAGCUUUUACAUUUUGACGACUUAGCUCAGAUAUAAAUAUAAAUAUA
This is a long non-coding RNA of Musa acuminata AAA Group (dessert banana), 1722 nucleotides long. RefSeq lists it as uncharacterized. Lineage: Eukaryota; Viridiplantae; Streptophyta; Magnoliopsida; Zingiberales; Musaceae. The record is from RefSeq and is a predicted model, not a curated record. The transcript has 6 exons.